This 72-nucleotide transfer RNA is filed under the name Pangasianodon hypophthalmus (striped catfish). RNAcentral's name for it is "tRNA-Glu". Lineage: Eukaryota; Metazoa; Chordata; Actinopteri; Siluriformes; Pangasiidae. The record is from RNAcentral.
UCUCUGGAGGACUAGUGGUUAGGCCACAAUGCUCUCAUCGCCAUGGCCCGGGUUCAAUUCCCGGCCACAGUU